This 501-nucleotide ribosomal RNA is filed under the name uncultured bacterium. RNAcentral's name for it is "partial 16S ribosomal RNA". It matches the Rfam family "Bacterial small subunit ribosomal RNA", at positions 30 to 523 of the family's 1533-position model. The record is from RNAcentral.
AUUGAACGCUGGCGGCAGGCUUAACACAUGCAAGUCGAGCGGGGGAAGGUAGCUUGCUACCGGACCUAGCGGCGGACGGGUGAGUAAUGCUUAGGAGUCUGCCUAUUAGUGGGGGACAACAUCUCGAAAGGGAUGCUAAUACCGCAUACGUCCUACGGGAGAAAGCAGGGGAUCUUCGGACCUUGCGCUAAUAGAUGAGCCUAAGUCGGAUUAGCUAGUUGGUGGGGUAAAGGCCUACCAAGGCGACGAUCUGUAGCGGGUCUGAGAGGAUGAUCCGCCACACUGGGACUGAGACACGGCCCAGACUCCUACGGGAGGCAGCAGUGGGGAAUAUUGGACAAUGGGGGGAACCCUGAUCCAGCCAUGCCGCGUGUGUGAAGAAGGCCUUAUGGUUGUAAAGCACUUUAAGCGAGGAGGAGGCUACUCUAGUUAAUACCUAGGGAUAGUGGACGUUACUCGCAGAAUAAGCACCGGCUAACUCUGUGCCAGCAGCCGCAGUAA